UAGAAUGGGGGCACCUGCAUCCAGCAUGCCGCGUGAGUGAAGAAGGCCUUCGGGUUGUAAAGCUCUUUUGUCAGGGAAGAAACACCGGCUCUAACACAGUCCGGGAAUGACGGUACCUGAAGAAUAAGCACCGGCUAACUACGUGCCAGCAGCCGCGGUAAUACGUAGGGUGCGAGCGUUAAUCGGAAUUACUGGGCGUAAAGCGUGCGCAGGCGGUUAUACAAGACAGGCGUGAAAUCCCCGGGCUUAACCUGGGAAUGGCGCCUGUGACUGUAUAGCUAGAGUGUGUCAGAGGGGGGUAGAAUUCCACGUGUAGCAGUGAAAUGCGUAGAUAUGUGGAGGAAUACCAAUGGCGAAGGCAGCCCCCUGGGAUAACACUGACGCUCAUGCACGAAAGCGUGGGGAGCAAACAGGAUUAGAUACCCUGGUAGUCCACGCCCUAAACGAUGCUGACUAGUUGUUCGGGAUUUACAUCC
Molecule: ribosomal RNA, 476 nt
Filed under: uncultured bacterium
Lineage: Bacteria
Description: bacterial SSU rRNA
Rfam family: Bacterial small subunit ribosomal RNA
Source: RNAcentral